UCCUCCUAUGAAGGCGCAUCCGUGGUUCCCGGAUCCACGUAAGAAUUGAAUUGGAGGCACAGAAGUGUGGACUGGCGAGGUCUGGGGCCAGCUUGCUCCCAGCAGGCUCAAGAUCAACCAUCCCACUUAG
Artibeus jamaicensis (Jamaican fruit-eating bat) is the source of this 130-nucleotide small nucleolar RNA. RefSeq annotates it as small nucleolar RNA SNORA38. The transcript has a single exon. NCBI's taxonomy places the organism in Eukaryota, Metazoa, Chordata, Mammalia, Chiroptera, Phyllostomidae. The record is from RefSeq and is a predicted model, not a curated record.